AGUCGUAACAAGGUCUCCGUUGGUGAACCAGCGGAGGGAUCAUUACUGAGUUUACGCUCUACAACCCUUUGUGAACAUACCUAUAACUGUUGCUUCGGCGGGUAGGGUCUCCGUGACCCUCCCGGCCUCCCGCCCCCGGGCGGGUCGGCGCCCGCCGGAGGAUAACCAAACUCUGAUUUAACGACGUUUCUUCUGAGUGGUACAAGCAAAUAAUCAAAACUUUUAACAACGGAUCUCUUGGUUCUGGCAUCGAUGAAGAACGCAGCGAAAUGCGAUAAGUAAUGUGAAUUGCAGAAUUCAGUGAAUCAUCGAAUCUUUGAACGCACAUUGCGCCCGCCAGCAUUCUGGCGGGCAUGCCUGUUCGAGCGUCAUUUCAACCCUCAAGCUCUGCUUGGUGUUGGGGCCCUACAGCUGAUGUAGGCCCUCAAAGGUAGUGGCGGACCCUCCCGGAGCCUCCUUUGCGUAGUAACUUUACGUCUCGCACUGGGAUCCGGAGGGACUCUUGCCGUAAAACCCCCAAUUUUCCAAAGGUGA
This 534-nucleotide ribosomal RNA is filed under the name fungal endophyte. RNAcentral describes it as "eukaryotic LSU rRNA". The stretch from base 218 to 371 matches the Rfam family "5.8S ribosomal RNA". The record is from RNAcentral. Lineage: Eukaryota; Fungi.